Molecule: ribosomal RNA, 501 nt
Filed under: uncultured bacterium
Lineage: Bacteria
Description: partial 16S ribosomal RNA
Rfam family: Bacterial small subunit ribosomal RNA
Source: RNAcentral
AUUGAACGCUGGCGGCAGGCUUAACACAUGCAAGUCGAGCGGGGGAAGGUAGCUUGCUACUGGACCUAGCGGCGGACGGGUGAGUAAUGCUUAGGAAUCUGCCUAUUAGUGGGGGACAACAUCUCGAAAGGGAUGCUAAUACCGCAUACGUCCUACGGGAGAAAACAGGGGAUCUUCGGACCUUGCGCUAAUAGAUGAGCCUAAGUCGGAUUAGCUAGUUGGUGGGGUAAAGGCCUACCAAGGCGACGAUCUGUAGCGGGUCUGAGAGGAUGAUCCGCCACACUGGGACUGAGACACGGCCCAGACUCCUACGGGAGGCAGCAGUGGGGAAUAUUGGACAAUGGGGGGAACCCUGAUCCAGCCAUGCCACGUGUGUGAAGAAGGCCUUAUGGUUGUAAAGCACUUUAAGCGAGGAGGAGGCUCUUUUGGUUAAUACCCAAGAUGAGUGGACGUUACUCGCAGAAUAAGCACCGGCUAACUCUGUGCCAGCCGCCGCAGUAA